AGUCAGCAAAACAUCAACUCUAAGCGUGGUCUAACAAUCUACACCUGCCUCCCGGGUGCACUAAGGAAAGGGGACACAGGUAAGGCCACUGCUGGGGGGUAGAUGUAGAGGGGUCACAGAAAGGGGCAGUCCACUGGGAGUCUAGUCCCAGAGGCUGGCCACAAAUAAGAAGAGCUAGAUAUGGAAGGACAGAGAGAUAUGGUGUAUUUCGUUAAUGUGUUAAACAAUGUAAAUGUUACACACACACACACACACACACACACACACACACACACACAGCUCUACGCAGAGUGGCAUAGUGGCAGCCACACCCCAGUCACAAGGAGCACACCCAGAUCCUGGAUUCUGAUACCAUUCUGCAGUGAGAGGAAACAGGGUCCUUUGGAUUUGAUCUGUGGGCUGGGACAGGAAAAGUCCGUAAGCCCGAGCAUCAUAUAAUGCCAGAAAGUCAGGAAACAGACAAAAAUUCAAAAACGAAGGGGCAUGUCAAAAGGACACAGGAACAGGCCUAAAGAGUCCCUGUCCAGGGCUGGGAUAUUUGAGUAACAACAUAAAUAGCACUAAAUUCACAUGAACUGGAUUCCCCACAGGCAUGAAAUGGAAAGACUCUUCCUUUCUGCUGUGUUUACCUCCGAAAGCCACAAACCCAGUCCAACCAUGAGAGAAAGAAAGAUCAGACAGCUACAGGCUGAGGGACAGUCUACAGAAUACUUAGCCUGUGUAGAAUUGCUAUUCUUGUUGCUGUGUCUAAGUACCUGACCAGAGAUGUAAGGAAGACUUUAUUCUGGGCUCAGGGUUUGGAGAACAACAGUUCAUCGUGGCAGGAGGCAGGAGCACCGGGCAGCUGGUUACAUUGCAUUCUCGGGUAGCAGAACGAUUAAUGCUGGUGUGUGUCUGCUUUUUAUAUAGUCUGGGACCCCAGAUCAUCAGGUGGUAUCACCCACACACAUCAGGUAGGUCUUCCCAGAGAAGUGUCUCCUGGGUGAUUCUAAAUCCAGUUUGGUUGACAGUGAAAUUGAACAUCAUAGCCAAUACCCCUCAAAAUUGUUGAAGGUCUACCUCUUUUUGACUUGGCAUGGCUGCUGCACUAAUGAGCUCACAUCCUCUGACGUUACCUGCACAAGAUCAAGCCUGUGCGCAUUCUAGCAUGGGCCAGGGAAGGGCUCACGAGCUCCUACCACCAGCUGACAAGCUAUGUGGCAAUUGAUGGGUUUUGGCUGCUGUGGUGGUGGGACCACCAUUUUUUAGGGUUGUGGCCACUGGUAAGUUGUAUGUGCUCUGGUGGGUGAAUGGCCCCAUACCCAUCUGCAGAAGGGCAGCAUUAACUGGACUCAUUGCCUUGUUUUUUUUUUUUUGUUUUUUUUGUUUUUUUUUUUUUUUAAAGAAUAAUAAGGAUUAAAGAAAGACAAGCUGAAGGGGUAAGGGAAAAUGUGAGAGGAGAGUUGGGGACCAAGAAUCAAUAGACACAUGGUAUGUGUGUAUGAAAUUGUCAAAGAAUAAAUAAAAGUGUUUAUUAAAAAAAAAAAA
Molecule: long non-coding RNA, 1527 nt
Filed under: Mus musculus (house mouse)
Lineage: Eukaryota; Metazoa; Chordata; Mammalia; Rodentia; Muridae
Description: predicted gene, 57239
Source: RNAcentral